GUGGGGAAUAUUGGACAAUGGGGGGAACCCUGAUCCAGCCAUGCCGCGUGUGUGAAGAAGGCCUUUUGGUUGUAAAGCACUUUAAGCGAGGAGGAGGCUACCGAGAUUAAUACUCUUGGAUAGUGGACGUUACUCGCAGAAUAAGCACCGGCUAACUCUGUGCCAGCAGCCGCGGUAAUACAGAGGGUGCAAGCGUUAAUCGGAUUUACUGGGCGUAACGCGCGCGUAGGUGGCCAAUUAAGUCAAAUGUGAAAUCCCCGAGCUUAACUUGGGAAUUGCAGUCGAUACUGGUUGGCUAGAGUAUGGGAGAGGAUGGUAGAAUUCCAGGUGUAGCGGUGAAAUGCGUAGAGAUCUGGAGGAAUACCGAUGGCGAAGGCAGCCAUCUGGCCUAAUACUGACACUGAGGUGCGAAAGCAUGGGGAGCAAACAGGAUUAGAUACCCUUGUAGUCC
This 451-nucleotide ribosomal RNA is filed under the name uncultured bacterium. RNAcentral's name for it is "partial 16S ribosomal RNA". It matches the Rfam family "Bacterial small subunit ribosomal RNA", at positions 354 to 796 of the family's 1533-position model. The record is from RNAcentral.